Molecule: long non-coding RNA, 482 nt
Filed under: Elaeis guineensis (African oil palm)
Lineage: Eukaryota; Viridiplantae; Streptophyta; Magnoliopsida; Arecales; Arecaceae
Description: long non-coding RNA (EGUI_LNC033217)
Source: RNAcentral
AUGAUACUGCUCAAGUCGAGGCUCGGGUAUAAUUUUUUGACCGCAUCUCGACCAUCUUCAUACCCGACGCAGUACGAGGCGAAGCCACUUUCGAGGAUCUCUUUCUUGAAUUCUUCUGAACUUCAGAAAUCUUCGACUGUCCGACUCAAUGCCUCCCUUGCCGACUCUGCUUUCGCCUUUGCCAAGUCAGCAUCAGCUCCAGCAGAGGAUAAUUCUUUUUCAGCUAGUGCCAACCUUUCCAGACUGACCCGAUGACGUCCACGUUCGGCUUCGAGUUCGUCGAUGCAUCUGUCUUGCUCCCAUCGAAGCCGGUGGAUAGAGUGCUUCUUGCUCUUGACCUGUGACUUAAGAGUCAAAAUAGCCUCGUGAGCCAACUUAAGUUCGGCCCCCGAGGAUACCAAGUCAUCAGUUAGUCGAAAAACCUCCUCCUGAAGUUUGGCUUCCCGCUCCACCACCGACUUAAGUUGUUCGAGUGCAGCCGC